Long non-coding RNA from Oncorhynchus tshawytscha (Chinook salmon), 1020 nucleotides. NCBI's taxonomy places the organism in Eukaryota, Metazoa, Chordata, Actinopteri, Salmoniformes, Salmonidae. The record is from Ensembl.
GUGUGCUUUUUUCAAAUGACAUUUUGCGAUAGUUGGGAUGUUAAGCUGAGAGCAAAUUUAUCAAAGACAGAGCACCUCUGUCAGUUGCUGUGGAAAAAAAUGUUUCCAGUUGCAAAUACAGUAUUUGUCAGUUUGUCUUUCAGGUUUGGUCUUGCUUCAGCGGCCCCUACUGGUAUAAGGUAACUGUUGCUCAGUCAUGAUAUAUUGUCUUCAGAAAACAUUCAUACUCAUUGACUUCUUCCACAUUUUGUGUUACAGCCUCAAUUUAAAAUCGAUGAAAUAUAUAUUUUUCUCACCCAUCUACAGAUAAUACCCCAAAGUGAAAACAUGUUUAAGAAAAUAUAUUUGAUUUUAACUAGGCAAGUCAGUUAAGGACAAGUUCUUAUUUACAACGACAGCCUACCGGGGAGCAGUGGACUAACUUCCUUGUUCAGGGGCAGAAUGACAGAUUUUUUACCUUGUCAGCUUGGAGAUUUGAUCCAGCAAUCAUUCGGUUACUGGCUCACCGCUCUAACCACUAGGCUACCUGCUGCCAAGCUGACAUAAGACAGAAAUAUGUCAUUGACAUAAGUCUUCACACCCCUUAGUCAAUAAAUGUUAGAAUCACUUUUGGCAGCGAUUACAGCGUUUGGCUUUCUAGUUAAGUCUCUUAAGAGCUUUGCACACCAGGAUUGCACAUUAUCUGCACAUCAUUUUUUUAAUUCUUCAAGCUCUGUCAUGUUGGUUGUUAAUCAUUGCUAGACAGCCAUUUUCAAGUCUUGCCAAAGAUUUUCCAAGACAGUUUUAAGUCGACUGUAUCUAGGCCACUCAGGAACAUUCAAUGUUGUCUUGUUCUUGCCGAUGACAAGCAGACCCAUAACAUGAUGCAGCCACCACCAUGCUUGAAGAUAUGAAGAGUGGUACUUUGCAAUGGGUUGUUGGAUUUGCCCCAAAUAUAACACUGUGUAUUCAGGACAUAAAGUUGAUUUCUUUGCCAAAUUUUUUGUAGUUUUGCUUUGGUGCAUUAUUGCAAACAGGAUG